GAUCAUGGCUCAGGACGAACGCUGGCGGCGUGCUUAACACAUGCAAGUCGAACGUGAUUUUUGUGGAAAGCCCUUCGGGGACGGGAAAUGAAAUGAAAGUGGCGAACGGGUGAGUAACACGUGAGCAACCUACCUUACACAGGGGGAUAGCCGUUGGAAACGACGAUUAAUACCGCAUGAGACCACAGAAUCGCAUGAUAUAGGGGUCAAAGAUUUAUCGGUGUAAGAAGGGCUCGCGUCUGAUUAG
RNAcentral lists this ribosomal RNA (247 nucleotides) under uncultured bacterium. RNAcentral's name for it is "partial 16S ribosomal RNA". It matches the Rfam family "Bacterial small subunit ribosomal RNA", at positions 15 to 244 of the family's 1533-position model. The record is from RNAcentral.